CCUACGGGGGGCUGCAGUAAGGAAUAUUGGUCAAUGGGCGGGAGCCUGAACCAGCCAUGCCGCGUGCAGGAAGACGGCCUUAUGGGUUGUAAACUGCUUUUAUCGGGGAAUAAAACUUUCUACGCGUAGAGAGCUGAAGGUACCCGAAGAAUAAGCAUCGGCUAACUCCGUGCCAGCAGCCGCGGUAAUCCGGAGGAUGCAAGCGUUAUUCGGAUUCAUGGGGUUUAAGGCGUGUGGAGAAGGCAGUGGUGAAAUUCUAGUGCUUAACAUUAGACCUGCCAUUGAUACUGUCAGUCUAGAGUAUAGUUGGAGUGGGCGGAAUGUGUCAUGUAGCGGUGAAAUGCUUAGAUAUGACACAGAACACCGAUCGCGAAGGCAGCUCACUAAGCUAAAACUGACGCUCAUGCACGAAAGCGUGGGGAUCAAACAGGAUUAGAUACCCCGGUAGUC
This 450-nucleotide ribosomal RNA is filed under the name uncultured bacterium. RNAcentral describes it as "partial 16S ribosomal RNA". It matches the Rfam family "Bacterial small subunit ribosomal RNA", at positions 338 to 795 of the family's 1533-position model. The record is from RNAcentral.